GGGUGCCUGGAAUAGAGGACAGGGAGCGUCAGACAGGAUGUACCUAUUCUAUUCACCUUUCCUACAGAAGAGGACAUUUGAAGACCUUUGUACUUUUUAAAAACAGGUGUUUGGGGGUUACAACAGCGAUUACAACGGAGACAAAGACUGAUGCUCAAUGCAAUACUUACCACCGGCUGGUAAGAUGGAAACUUCUCCCCAAGGUAGAACAUCAGCAGCAUGAAUCCAACGAAACCAAACAGAUGUUUGCACAUGGUGUGCCAGGCCACAGGGCUGGGCGACGUGUCCACUCGAUUCCUGAUGAA
Long non-coding RNA from Oncorhynchus nerka (sockeye salmon), 305 nucleotides. RefSeq lists it as uncharacterized. The record is from RefSeq and is a predicted model, not a curated record. NCBI's taxonomy places the organism in Eukaryota, Metazoa, Chordata, Actinopteri, Salmoniformes, Salmonidae. The transcript has 2 exons.